AGAUGUGCACGGCAUCCCCACCUCUUCUGCGGCUCCGCGCAGACCGCAAGAUGGGCGGAAGCAUUGCUUAACAGAUGAGCUCCAUAGCGAUACGUAUCGAGAACCUGACG
This 110-nucleotide small nucleolar RNA is filed under the name Leishmania donovani. RNAcentral describes it as "C/D box snoRNA LD36Cs4C1b". The record is from RNAcentral. Lineage: Eukaryota; Euglenozoa; Kinetoplastea; Trypanosomatida; Trypanosomatidae.